Moniliophthora roreri is the source of this 102-nucleotide non-coding RNA. The record is from Rfam. NCBI's taxonomy places the organism in Eukaryota, Fungi, Basidiomycota, Agaricomycetes, Agaricales, Marasmiaceae.
GGGCGUUUAGCGCAGUGGUAGCGCGUAUGCUUUGCACCUCCAGUCCUGGAGCUGUUUACUCUGAUAUGUAUAAGGUCCAGGGUUCAAUCCCCUGAACGUCCA